GUGUCAGCAGCCGCGGUAAGACGUAAGAGGCGAGCGUUAUCCGGAUUUACUGGGCGUAAAGGGCAAGUAGGCGGUAGUGCAAGUCAGUUGUGACAGAUCCCGGCUUAACUGGGAGAGGACGAUUGAGACUGUAUCACUAGAGGACAGGAGAGGGAAGCGGAAUUCCUUGUGUAGCGGUGGAAUGCUCAGAUACAAGGAGGAACACCAGUGGCGAAGGCGGCUUUCUGGCCUGGUCCUGACGCUGAAGAGCGAAAGCUAGGGGAGCAAACGGGCUUAGAUACCCCGGUAGUCCUAGCUGUAAACGUUGGGUACUAGGUAUUGGGGGUGAGAACACCCUCAGUGCCGAAGCGAACGCGUUAAGUACCCCGCCUGGGGACUACGGCCGCAAGGUUAAAACUCAAAUGAAUUGACGGGG
Molecule: ribosomal RNA, 415 nt
Filed under: uncultured prokaryote
Description: bacterial SSU rRNA
Rfam family: Bacterial small subunit ribosomal RNA
Source: RNAcentral